UACGAAGGGUGCAACCGUUGCUCGGAAUUAUUGGGCGUAAAGCGCACGUAGGCGGCUUGGCAAGUCGGAUGUGAAAUCCCUCGGCUCAACCAAGGAAGUGCAUCCGAAACUGCAGGGCUAGAGUCCUGGAGAGGAAGGUGGAAUGCUUGGUGUAGAGGUGAAAUUCGUAGAUAUCAAGCGGAACACCGGUGGCGAAGGCGGCCUUCUGGACAGUGACUGACGCUGAGACGCGAAAGCGUGGGGAGCAAACAGG
This 253-nucleotide ribosomal RNA is filed under the name uncultured bacterium. RNAcentral's name for it is "partial 16S ribosomal RNA". It matches the Rfam family "Bacterial small subunit ribosomal RNA", at positions 524 to 776 of the family's 1533-position model. The record is from RNAcentral.